UACGGGGGGGGCAAGCGUUGUUCGGAAUUACUGGGCGUAAAGGGCUCGUAGGCGGCCAACUAAGUCAGCCGUGAAAUCCCCAGGCUCAACUUGGGAACUGCGUCUGAUACUGGAUGGCUUGAAUUCGGGAGAGGGAUGCAGAAUUCCAGGUGUAGCGGUGAAAUGCGUAGAUAUCUGGAGGAAUACCGGUGGCGAAGGCGGCAUCCUGGACCGAGAUUGACACUGAUGAGCGAAAGCUAGGGGAGCAAACGGG
This 253-nucleotide ribosomal RNA is filed under the name uncultured bacterium. RNAcentral's name for it is "partial 16S ribosomal RNA". It matches the Rfam family "Bacterial small subunit ribosomal RNA", at positions 524 to 776 of the family's 1533-position model. The record is from RNAcentral.